AGGAGGAACAGCCCCAGUGGCGCCCCAGCCCUCUGGAAACCUGGAUUCAGCUCCUGUAGGAACUCCGUCUGCAGGGCCUGGAGGCUCCGGGGCGGG
This 96-nucleotide microRNA precursor is filed under the name Canis lupus familiaris (dog). RNAcentral describes it as "mir-8834 microRNA precursor family". It matches the Rfam family "mir-8834 microRNA precursor family". The record is from Rfam by way of RNAcentral. Lineage: Eukaryota; Metazoa; Chordata; Mammalia; Carnivora; Canidae.